UGCGGUAAUUUGACCGUGCAAAGGUAGCGUAAUCAGUAGUCUUUUAAUUGAAGGCUUGUAUGAACGGUUGGAUGAAAGAAUAGCUGUCUCUUAAAUAAUUUAGAAUUUGACUUUUAAGUGAAAAGGCUUAAAUUUAAUAAGGGGACGAUAAGACCCUAUAAAACUUUAUAAAUAAGGUGUAUAAUCUUUGAGUUAUAUUAAAAUGUUGAUAAAUACUUUAUUUAUUUCGUUGGGGCGACGUUGAUAUAAUUUGUAACUGUCUGAAUGAAUAAUAUAAUAAUAAUUAUAUUUUGAUCCUUCUUUGUGGAUUAUAAGAGUAAGUUACUUUAGGGAUAACAGCGUAAUUUUCUCAGAGAGUUCUUAUCGAAGAGAUUAGUUGCGACCUCGAUGUUGAAUUAA
Molecule: ribosomal RNA, 399 nt
Filed under: Palaemon xiphias
Lineage: Eukaryota; Metazoa; Arthropoda; Malacostraca; Decapoda; Palaemonidae
Description: partial 16S ribosomal RNA
Rfam family: Bacterial large subunit ribosomal RNA
Source: RNAcentral